AUAAAAAAAAAAAACACGCCGAUCUCGUCGAUCUCGUCCGAUCUCGGAAGCUAAGCAGGGUCGGGCCUGGUUAGUACUUGGAUGGGAGACCGCCUGGGAAUACCAGGUGCUGUA
RNAcentral lists this ribosomal RNA (114 nucleotides) under Labrus bergylta (ballan wrasse). Lineage: Eukaryota; Metazoa; Chordata; Actinopteri; Labriformes; Labridae. The record is from RNAcentral.